Molecule: long non-coding RNA, 307 nt
Filed under: Ananas comosus (pineapple)
Lineage: Eukaryota; Viridiplantae; Streptophyta; Magnoliopsida; Poales; Bromeliaceae
Description: long non-coding RNA (ACOM_LNC027023)
Source: RNAcentral
ACAGCUACUAUACCAUGCUAGGCCUCUUUCCCUGUCACGCCCCGAAUUUUUCGUUUUUCCGGGCACGCCGACAAAUCCGCCGUAUACAAAGAAAUUUUUUCUGUAUACGAAGCGAUAGCUGUACCUGCACCUGUAAUCAUACAAAACUUCAACUAGUAGUAUAGAAUUGCUAACAGAACUGUAAACAUAUAUAAAUAAACAUCAGAUUCACUGUACAUACAUAGUCUCCAUAAUACAGACAUCACUCGCUUCAGCGAUAAUCUAAUAUCAGUAUGUAUAAGAACCGAAAAAAACAAAACUACCUGAA